CCAUGUGAAGAUGAAGGUAGAAAUCAGGGUGAUGCAUAUUUAAACCAAGGAACUCCAAAGAUUGCCAGCAAACCACCAGAAGCCAGGGGAGAGACCAGGAACAGGUUCUUCCUCCCAGCCUUCAGAAGAAACCAGCCCUGCUGACACCUUGAUCUCAGGCUCCGGCCUCCAGAACUGUGAGACAAUACGUUUCUGUUCUUCAAGGCAUGCAGUUUGGGGCACUUUGUUACAGAAGCCCUAGGAAACUAAUGCAGAUGCUAAGUACAAUACAUUUAAUUUAAAAUUUUUUCAAUUUGUAUCUGCAAUGAUUGAUACAAGCUGAAAUUUCAUGAAUGCUGAGAAGAAAAUUCCAGAUUUUGAAAAAGAGAUGACUAUUGGAGGAACUUUUCCAUAGUAAGCAUCUGAAAAGGUUUGCAGUGAUUCUGAAGAGAGUGGGUGACAGUGUGAAGGCCCCUGCUUUUGGAUGCUGCCGUCGCCACCUAUCCUUUUGGG
Long non-coding RNA from Artibeus jamaicensis (Jamaican fruit-eating bat), 492 nucleotides. RefSeq lists it as uncharacterized. The transcript is spliced from 3 exons. The record is from RefSeq and is a predicted model, not a curated record. Lineage: Eukaryota; Metazoa; Chordata; Mammalia; Chiroptera; Phyllostomidae.